UACAGAGGGGGCAAGCGUUGUUCGGAAUUACUGGGCGUAAAGGGCGCGUAGGCGGUUCGAUAAGUCCCGUGUGAAAUCCCUCGGCUCAACUGAGGAAUGGCACGGGAAACUGACGGGCUUGAGCUCGGGAGAGGGAAGCGGAAUUCCGGGUGUAGCGGUGAAAUGCGUAGAUAUCCGGAGGAACACCGGUGGCGAAGGCGGCUUCCUGGACCGACACUGACGCUGAGGCGCGAAAGCUAGGGGAGCAAACGGG
This 253-nucleotide ribosomal RNA is filed under the name uncultured bacterium. RNAcentral's name for it is "partial 16S ribosomal RNA". It matches the Rfam family "Bacterial small subunit ribosomal RNA", at positions 524 to 776 of the family's 1533-position model. The record is from RNAcentral.